RNAcentral lists this unclassified non-coding RNA (718 nucleotides) under Hevea brasiliensis (rubber tree). Lineage: Eukaryota; Viridiplantae; Streptophyta; Magnoliopsida; Malpighiales; Euphorbiaceae. The record is from RNAcentral.
GAUUAGUACAAAAUUAGUCCUUUUGAACCAACUCAACAAAACAAGCCUAAAUCUCACAGGGUGACAAUUUAGAAAGGAGGCCCAAAAAAGCUAGCUCUAUAUUACGAUCGACCCAAGGCCCACAAACUCAUAGCUACAAGAGGCAGCUGAACCAUCGUCACUAGCCUUCCAUUCCAUCGUUGCCUGGAAAAGAACUACAACUAGUUACACGGGAAAAACAGACCAACAACUCUCAAACCCAAGAAACCACCUUCCAGAGAGCCUUUAGUAGACGAGAAACAACCAAAUCCGGCAAUCAGCAAGGAUAGUCAACGGGCAGAGUUCAUAUGGCUUAUGCGCCUUAAAGGAUCAGGUGGCUAACCGAGCGAGCCGGUUAUAGGACCCUUUAACAUUUUUGUCCUUACAACAUCAAGGUACCUUCCCGUGGCUUAAACCAAAAAGCAAACACCAAGUUGAUGCAUAGGUCCUUUGGACAAACAACAAUAACAUCACAGAGUAACAGAAAGAUCCUUCACCUGGUCAACACUCCACCUGUGAGAAUCGCAAAAGAAACACAACGAAAACUGUAUACAUACCCUACCUGAUGGUGGCGAGGAUAAAUCCACUUUUGGACAAUGGAAGGAGUGUUGUCCCUUACCUGAAGGGAUAUGAGACAAUUGUUGGAACAACAAAAAGAGAGAUACGAAGUCUCUAGAAACAUGAGAAAAUUAAGAGAAUU